GUAAAAGUUGCCGCUCUUGUUGGUGCGUCAGCGCUCAAACUUGAGCACAAAGCAGCAAAGGUAGAGCGACAUAGACAGUGGCAGUCAGGGGGGAGAGAGAGAGAGCGAGAGAAAGAGAGCGAGCGAGAGAGGAGCGGUGCCUCUUUUCCUUUGUCUGAUGCUCUGUCUCGAGCUUUUUGGACACUACUUGAAGCGACGUCAUCAUGCUCACAGUACACUGGAACCUCGAACCCAACCGAUACAUGUUCUUCAGCUGUUUGGGAGACAGACGGAGGAACUCCGGAGUCAUCUACGGAGAAGCUUUGAGGAUUAAGAGGCAGAACACUUUUAUUUUGGGAGAAGAUGAGGACUCAGGAUUUAAACCCCAGCUUUGCCUUGAGGGAGUCAUACUUGGAAAUUUAAAAACCUGGAUAUACUUUGGAGAUUAAAUAUUCAGCGGGAUGGCAGAGUAUUGAAUUUUGAUCCUCCAUCGUAUAGUGCAAAAGAUGCAGCUUCGGAGCUAUGAAUCCACAUCUCAACGUUGUAUAGUGAUGACUCCUCUGAAGAUGGAAUCCUCACGACAACGACAAGUUUGCUGAUAGAACAUGUUACUGGCAAGGCCCCAAGCUGAAUGGAGCUGAGACAUUGGAGGUGACUCAGCUGGGCGGGAGCGUGCUGCCCUCGCGACCUCGAUUUGACAAGCUGCCACCAUUUCCGCCCACAAACUAAAAACACGCUUCUAAGGUUAACGGAAGAUUCCAAACUGUCCUUUCUGUCAAUAAACGCACUGCCACUUUGGAGGAUGUUUGUUAGUGACAACAGUUAUGGGUCAUCCCUUCCAUUCCCUAACAGAGACUGCGGAGACAAACUGCUGCAUUUGUGACGGGUUCCUUACUGUAUACAUUGUACGAUAGCGGCAUUGUUGCAAUGAAAAACUAUUUUAUUGUGCUACACCUUGACCUUAUUAUCACAAAAAUCUCAAGGCAAAUCUUAACCUUCCUACCUAGCGAUACAUAUCUUUCACACAUUGUUGCCGGCCAGUAAAAAGUAACGUCACAAAAACUGUGGCGAGACUUGCCUUGGGAAACACUUACCGUAAUACUGUCUGGGGAAUGCGCUUUCAUGCUAUCCACUGUAAAGUGUCUUUGAGUGUCUCGAAAAGCUCUAUAGAGAUCUGAUGCAUUAUUAUUAAAACAUGACAUGUUUGUUUUCACCACUUGCGGGCCAUCAUGAUUCUUGGUGACAGACUAAACUGUGAGCAAGUUAUGAGAACUCAUUUCACUGCCCCAAAAUGUGUGUCUGAACACAAGAAAUCCCGAUCUAUCAAAUUACUCUA
This is a long non-coding RNA of Hippocampus comes (tiger tail seahorse), 1315 nucleotides long. RefSeq lists it as uncharacterized. The transcript has 6 exons. The record is from RefSeq and is a predicted model, not a curated record. Lineage: Eukaryota; Metazoa; Chordata; Actinopteri; Syngnathiformes; Syngnathidae.